Molecule: ribosomal RNA, 494 nt
Filed under: uncultured bacterium
Lineage: Bacteria
Description: partial 16S ribosomal RNA
Rfam family: Bacterial small subunit ribosomal RNA
Source: RNAcentral
GACGAACGCUGGCGGCGUGCUUAACACAUGCAAGUCGAACGGAAAGGCCUGCUUUCCCUUGUGGAUUGCGGGUACUCGAGUGGCGAACGGGUGAGUAACACGUGAGUUAUCUGCCCCCAACUUGGGUAUAAGCCUGGGAAACUGGGUCUAAUUCCCGAUAGUACUGCAGGGUGGUGCCUGUGGUGGAAAACGAUUUUCUAGUGGUUGGGGAUGAGCUCGCGGCCUAUCAGCUUGUUGGUGGGGUAAUGGCCUACCAAGGCGGCGACGGGUAGCCGGCCUGAGAGGGUGGACGGCCACAUUGGGACUGGGAUACGGCCCAGACUCCUACGGGAGGCAGCAGUGGGGAAUAGUGCACAAUGGGCGGAAGCCUGAUGCAGCGACGCCGCGUGGGGGAUGACGGCCUUCGGGUUGUAAACUCCUUUCGACCGCGAGGAAGCCACCUGGUUGGAAGGGUGGUGACGGUAGUGGUAGAAGAAGCACCGGCUAACUACGUG